RNAcentral lists this long non-coding RNA (4098 nucleotides) under Sorghum bicolor (sorghum). Its description in RNAcentral is "long non-coding RNA (SBIC_LNC018684)". Lineage: Eukaryota; Viridiplantae; Streptophyta; Magnoliopsida; Poales; Poaceae. The record is from RNAcentral.
GCCAGCAACCUUGCUCUUGACUUCAAGUUGUCCAUAGAGAGUUUGAUAGAGAAGGAGAGAGUAGAAAGUGUAGAGAAUGGAGUAAGAAGUAAGGAGAGUAAGCAAGAGCUCAAGAGCUAGUGUAGACAGGGGUAGUGCUGCAAGAAUCUCAUAGAAAAAUCAGUGGAGAUGCUAUCCAAAUAGGAUUAAGAAUUUUGAAAUUAAGGGGAGGUUCUGUCGAAAUACAAACUAGAAACUAGAAUUAAUCUUGAAAGAACGACUAACCUCAGGACAGCUAACCACUAACCCCUUCCAUUAGUGUUGUUUGUAAGAAUUUUUGCAGGAUGAAGAGCUCGGACAAGGGAAUCGCCAACAAGGUCACGGGUAGGAGCACAAGGAGCUCGUCCCGGUAUGCUUCAUCAAGGGCCGGCUUCGACAUGAGUACUGAUCAACCUGUCAUCCCUCAACCAGCGUCUUCUUCCGUUGCACCCUAGAGGAUUCUCCUCAAGGCAUCUCACCUUGCCCUGAGAGGUUCUCAAGAGAAGAGCAACUACAACAAACUCAAGAAUAGGAGCUUCACACACAUGCCAGUCCUCGACGAAGUAUUUCUCUACGAAGCAGGUAUGGCCAGUGAACUUGACACAAUUUUUUAGUUUGUCAGUUGGAGUUCUUUUGCAACCAUCACUAAGUUAGGGUCUAAGCUCUUGACGAUAGAAUUUCUUUGCACCCUACAACUCACUAGAACAGGAUAUUAUUUUAGACUUGUCACCCAAUAAUUUUGCUUCACCUGGACAAACCUUAGUGAUAUUUUAGGCUUCCUCCCAAAUACACGCAUAGACUUAGAAGAAGCCUUGAAAGAUUACGACAUACAUAAGUUUUGGACUGAAAUUUCUAAGGAGCCGUUCUUCCAUGGCAACCGCACAUGAGACAUAGAGAAUCCCACACUUAGGUUCCUAUACAAGUGGUUAGGUACAACUUUCUUCUCCCAGGAUGACGCUAGCAAGAUUAGAACCAUAGACUUACAGCUGAUGUAUGCAGCAAUAAAGAAAAUUAGAGUGUCACUUGUUUAUGCUUUAGUAGAUCAUUGGUGGAGUAUUGCUGAUUAUAAUGUAAGGGAUGUGGCUAUUUGCUCCAUUGUCACUGGCUUAGCCAUAAACCUUAAAUUGAUUGAUGGUGCCCCUCUAGAUUUCAUUGACACGCAUAGGCAAAUUUAUGGUUAUGAACAUUUUAAUCAUGCUCAUAUAAUAAAUAAAAUAAAAGGGGAAUUAUAUUCUAUCCAAACUUUGCAUAUUGAAUUUCAUGUACGAUUGGUAAACAGGAGGGGAACUCAAGGGACAACUUGUAAGAGGGCAACGUAGAGGAUAGCCUCUAGGAGGAUUACACAUCAACACGAGUCAGUCUGGCUCGGAGCUAACUCCACUCAAGAGGAACCAGCACAUACCAGUUAUGAUGACUGGCAGGCACGCCAACACCAUACACUAAACCCACAAGUAUAUCGUCCGUACCAUCUAGCAUACUGUUGGUAUAGAUUAACUGCACUCCUUUAAAUAAGAUUUAAGUAAGAUUAUCUGCAAGCACAUAGAUAUCGUACCAAUGAGACAUUUUAACUGGGUGGUUUUCAUUAUUGUAUCCACAGGGAAGGCCAAAAUGUAGGACUUAUAACUAUAACUUAUACUAUUGAUGUGAACGGUAAACAAUAACUAGAAUCCUACACAUAACUGGGAUAAGUCACGUGAUAAAAGAUAUAGGAUAAAUAAUUAUCAGUCAUCAUAAAUAAAUAAAUAUCAGAGCUCUUCUAGUCAUAGUAAUAGCUAGCCAAUGGAUAACUCAGGAAUAAAUACUAAGGUAAUUCUAUAACUACAUCAAUAAAUAACUCUAAUUAGUGCAAUUAUAUCUAGAAAUCAUUGUUUAGUCAACCCUAUAUCAUAAUAACAUGUAAAGAGGCAUCAACUAAUGAGGAUAUUAAGACACAAGGGUCACCUCCUUCGCGACCGCGCCCAUGCUUGUCCUACGUACGGAGGGUGGACUACAGAGGAUCCAAAGCAGCUGUCACCUACGCGGUCUACCACAUGUCCCGGCAUAUCAGGAUGCACUCGCAGAUAAACAAGAUAUCUAGACACCACGUCUACAUAUUGUCUACCAUCUACCCAACAAUUAAUUAGGUCAACGCUAUACGAGCAAUUACAUGAAUUCAAUAAGAUCAAACCAACUAUCCUAGACAUAUAAUCAAAGUAGACAAUGACUAUUACAAUUAAGAAUAUAUAAGAGAUUAAGAACAAUAAUGCCUAAAUCAUAAUAUUGAAUACAAUAAGAGAAAGGUACUAGAACUAUACCAAACUCCAUGCUCCAGACAGACGCCAGGGGCUCCGGAUCCCGCUGAAGAACUAGAAGUCUUCUACUUCUAAUCUAACUGGGCUAAAACUAUGAACUAGAGAGGCUCUGAUGAUCUGUAACACCCUAAAAAUUCACUUUUCCAAAUAGGCUAAUUGAUUUAAUUAUCUGAUGUGGGCACUAAAGAAUAGUAAGAAAAUAAUUUUUUGGAAUAAAAUUCACUAUAGGAUCUAGAAACAUGUAUGUGCAUUCAUGCUGCUGCAUGUAUUUUGUGUGUGAAGUUUCUCCUUUCAAAUUUGUUUUGCUUUUCUUUUCAAAAUGUUUGAGCAAGAUUUAAAUUAGAAAAUGGAAAAAAAAGAAAUUCCCUUCCCCUCUCCCUACCCGACUUGGGCUUGGCCCAACCCUUUCUUUCCCCCCCCCCCCCCGCGGCCCGCAUCUCUUUCCCUUUUCCCCUUCUUCUUGCUGCGGCCCAGCCAGUGCCCGCACGGCCCACCUCGCGGCCCAAGGGACAACCAGCGCCGCGCCUCCCUCAUCUUGCCUCAGCAGCUGACGGCCGGGCCCCGCGCUCCAGUGCCACUGCCAGGUGGGGCCCACAGGACAGCAUCAUCUUCAACCUCGUGUCCGAGCCGGACACGAGUCGCUCCUCAACCGCGCGCGUGUUUCGCGCGGAGCAGUUCCGAUUCCGCCCGUUCUCCGUCCUUUAAAUACCGACCGAAGCCCCGUAACCCCCCAAGCUAGCUCGAGCUGCAGCCGUCGCGUCAAACACGCCCUAAGCCGCCGCCGAGAUCCGCCGCGUCUUCAAUCCGCCGCUGCAGCGCGCCCCGAGCCGCGUGAGCCGCUUGCCGGUCUUCCCGUCGCGCUUGCGAAGUCGCCGAACCGUUUCAUUCGCGAUUUCGUGUUUUCUGUGCUUCUCUAACCUCGGCCGAACCUUCUUGCAGAGCCGCCGCCCGCCUCUUGCCGUCGUGAGCUCGCAGCGGACUUCCUCGGCUCCAAGCUUGGUCCUAGGUGAGUUCGCAUCGAGCGCCUAAGUGUUCCGGUGUUUUCGGUUUAGUCUCUUGUGCCCUAAAUCGCGUAAACCGUGAGCUCCGGCCGUGUUCGGCCAUGGCGCCACCGCCGGCACCUCCAACUCCGGCGGCCAGCUCCCCUCCCCAACCCCCGAUCUAAUCCUGGCCAUCGGUUUGAGAUCCAACGGCCAGAAACGAAGGAUACCCCUUCGGCCGGCUAGUGUUCAGAAAACCCCCUGCGUUUUUUAAUGUUAUAACCCGCAGUCCUUUACGCUUUCCCGUUUUACGCUUUCCAAUUUGGAAAACGUAUUUCAGCCGCGCAGUUCAAAAAGAAGUUUCCCAGAUUUACAGUUUUGCCAUCGAAUCUAUUUUGCUCAUAAAAACUUCGUUUUAACUCCGAUUUAAUCCGUUCAAGUUGCGUUAGAUUCGUUUUCGCAUAAUCUAUAGUCUAAUGCUACUGUAGUACAAGUUUUCAACUUUUUAAAUCUGAGUUUAGAUUUAAUCUAUUAUUUAUUUAAAGUAAAACUUUGGAAAAUCAUAACUUCUUCGUUAUAACUCCGAUUUUCGUGAUCUUUACGUCUGUGUGAUCAUAGGGCGUUGUAGAUUCGUUUUAUAAACUUUUUAUCUUUAUUUAUUACUGUUGGUGUACUGUUCUAAUAAUAGGCUUGUUUGCUUUGCAUGAUUGCCUUUGGAUGAUUGUUGUUGAUGUGGUGGUUACGAGUAGACGGUGAGCAGUUCGUGGGUGAACAAGAGUACUUCUACGAGCAGGAUCAGCAGGACCAGG